ACGAAGGGUGCAAGCGUUAAUCGGAAUUACUGGGCGUAAAGCGUGCGUAGAUGGCUUUUUAAGUCGACUGUGAAACCCCUGGGCUCAACCUGGGACGUGCAGUCGAUACUGAGGAGCUUGGAGUCUGAGAGAGGGUGGUGGAAUUCCUGGUGUAGCGGUGAAAUGCGUAGAGAUCAGGAGGAACACUAGUGGCGAAGGCGGCCACCUGGCUUAAGACUGACGUUGAGGCACGAAAGCGUGGGGAGCAAACAGGAUUAGAUACCCUGGUAGUCCACGCCCUAAACGAUGAUCACUGGACGUUGGGGGCAAUCAGGCCCUUAGUGUCGAAGCUAACGCGUGAAGUGAUCCGCCUGGGGAGUACGCUCGCAAGAGUG
This 374-nucleotide ribosomal RNA is filed under the name uncultured bacterium. RNAcentral describes it as "bacterial SSU rRNA". It matches the Rfam family "Bacterial small subunit ribosomal RNA", at positions 525 to 896 of the family's 1533-position model. The record is from RNAcentral.